GGGGGUGAUCUGGAUUCGACGCCGGUAUCAAAACCCGAGGUGCAUGUCGAGAGGGUAUGGACUCUCGUUAAUCAAUCUAUGCAACUUAAUAGUUGCCAACGACGAUACGUACGCUUUAGCAGCCUAAGGGCCGCUAACGAUUGCCACCGGGAUGCCUGUAAACCAGUGAUCGCAAUCGUCAUAUAGAACAGGAUCGCCAGCCUAGCGCGUCCGACGCGAAGCGGUUAACCAGUAUCGGACUCGCCUCGAACACCCUGCCCGUCGGGCCGUGAGAGGUUAACUCAAUAGACGUGCUAAACAUGUAGAGCCAAAGGCAGCGGACUGACGGACGGGGGUUCAAUUCCCCCCGCCUCCACCA
RNAcentral lists this transfer-messenger RNA (358 nucleotides) under Pseudomonadales bacterium. It matches the Rfam family "transfer-messenger RNA". From Rfam's summary of the family: Bacterial tmRNA, also known as 10Sa RNA or SsrA, is named for its dual tRNA and mRNA-like properties. Its role is to liberate the mRNA from a stalled ribosome. To accomplish this part of the tmRNA is used as a reading frame that ends in a translation stop signal. Lineage: Bacteria; Pseudomonadati; Pseudomonadota; Gammaproteobacteria; Pseudomonadales. The record is from RNAcentral.